Molecule: ribosomal RNA, 408 nt
Filed under: uncultured bacterium
Lineage: Bacteria
Description: bacterial SSU rRNA
Rfam family: Bacterial small subunit ribosomal RNA
Source: RNAcentral
UGGGGAAUCUUGCGCAAUGGGCGAAAGCCUGACGCAGCAACGCCGCGUGGGGGAUGACGGCCUUCGGGUUGUAAACCUCUUUCGACCGGGACGAAGGAUUCGUUUGACGGUACCGGUAGAAGAAGCACCGGCUAACUACGUGCCAGCAGCCGCGGUAACACGUAGGGUGCGAGCGUUGUCCGGAAUUAUUGGGCGUAAAGAGCUCGUAGGCGGUGUGUCACGUCGGCCGUGAAAACUUGGGCUUAACUCUGGGGUUGCAUACGAAACUGGGUAACUAGAGUGCAGGAGAGGAAAGUGGAAUUCCUAGUGUAGCGGUGAAAUGCGUAGAUAUUAGGAGGAACACCAGUGGCGAAGGCGGCUUUCUGGACUGUAACUGACGCUGAGGUGCGAAAGCCAGGGGAGCGAACG